CCUACGGGGGGCUGCAGUAGGGAAUAUUGGACAAUGGGCGAAAGCCUGAUCCAGCCAUGCCGCGUGAUGGAUGAAGGCCCUCUGGGUUGUAAAUAUCUUUUAUCUGGGAAGAAACAAUCUUAUUCUUAAGAUCUUGACGGUACCAGAGGAAUAAGCACCGGCUAACUCCGUGCCAGCAGCCGCGGUAAUACGGAGGGUGCAAGCGUUAUCCGGAUUCACUGGGUCGAAAGGGGGCUGAGGAGUGCGGAUAGAACGCUCCGAGCUUAACUUGGAACCUGCCAUUGAUACUGCCAGUCUUGAAUGUCGUAGAGGUAAGCGGAAUUUUGCAUGUAGCGGUGAAAUGCUUAGAUAUGUUACAGAACACCAAUUGCGAAGGCAGCUUACUAUGCGAUGAUUGACGCUGAGGCACGAAAGCGUGGGGAGCAAACAGGAUUAGAUACCCCGGUAGUC
This 450-nucleotide ribosomal RNA is filed under the name uncultured bacterium. RNAcentral describes it as "partial 16S ribosomal RNA". It matches the Rfam family "Bacterial small subunit ribosomal RNA", at positions 338 to 795 of the family's 1533-position model. The record is from RNAcentral.